This is a non-coding RNA of Cordylochernes scorpioides, 114 nucleotides long. NCBI's taxonomy places the organism in Eukaryota, Metazoa, Arthropoda, Arachnida, Pseudoscorpiones, Chernetidae. The record is from the annotation of a GenBank genome assembly.
ACCGCCAUAUCACAUUGAAACACCGGUUCUAUUCCGAUCACCGAAGUUAAGCAAUGUCGGGCCCGGUCAGUACUUGGGAGGGUGACCACUUUGUAACAACGGGUGCUGUAGGCU